AACGUACGCUGGCGGCACGCCUAACACAUGCAAGUCGAACGAAGUAGCAAUACUUAGUGGCAGACGGGUGAGUAACAUGUAGGUAUCUGCCCUUUGGCCUGGAAUAACACGAGGAAACUUGUGCUAAUACCGGAUAAGUCUUUACGGAGAAAGCUUUAUGCACCAUUGGAUGAGCCUGCAAUUGAUUAGUUUGUUGGUGGGGUAAUGGCCUACCAAGACUGUGAUCAAUAGCUGAUUUGAGAGGAUGAUCAGCCACAUUGGGACUGAGACACGGCCCAAACUCCUACGGGAGGCAGCAGUGGGGAAUCUUGCACAAUGGAGGAAACUCUGAUGCAGCGAUGCCGCGUGAGUGAAGAAGGCCCUUGGGUUGUAAAGCUCUUUCGUCGGGGAAGAAAAUGACUGUACCCGAAUAAGAAGGUCCGGCUAACUUCGUGCCAGCAGCCGCGGUAAUACGAAGGGACCUAGCGUAGUUCGGAAUUACUGGGCUUAAAGAGUUCGUAGGUGGUUGAAAAAGUUAGUGGUGAAAUCCCAGAGCUUAACUCUGGAACUGCCAUUAAAACUUUUCAGCUAGAGUAUGAUAGAGGAAAGCAGAAUUUCUAGUGUAGAGGUGAAAUUCGUAGAUAUUAGAAAGAAUACCAAUUGCGAAGGCAGCUUUCUGGAUCAUUACUGACACUGAGGAACGAAAGCAUGGGUAGCGAAGAGGAUUAGAUACCCUCGUAGUCCAUGCCGUAAACGAUGUGUGUUAGACGUUGGAAAUUUAUUUUCAGUGUCGCAGGGAAACCGAUAAACACACCGCCUGGGGAGUACGACCGCAAGGUUAAAACUCAAAUGAAUUGACGGGGACCCGCACAAGUAGUGGAGCAUGUGGUUUAAUUCGAAGAUACGCGCAGAACCUUACCAACACUUGACAUGUUCGUCGCGACUCUAAGAGAUUAGAGUUUUCGGUUCGGCCGGACGAAACACAGGUGCUGCAUGGCUGUCGUCAGCUCGUGUCGUGAGAUGUUGGGUUAAGUCCCGCAACGAGCGCAACCCUCACUUUUAGUUGCCAUCAUUAAGUUGGGCACUCUGAAAGAACUGCCAGUGAUAAGCUGGAGGAAGGUGGGGAUGACGUCAAGUCCUCAUGGCCCUUACGUGUUGGGCUACACACGUGCUACAAUGGUAUCUACAACAGGAAGCAAGACUGCGAAGUUAAGCAAAUCCCUAAAAGAUACCUCAGUUCGGAUUGCACUCUGCAACUCGAGUGCAUGAAGCUGGAAUUACUAGUAAUCGUGGAUCAGCGUGCCACGGUGAAUGCGUUCCCGGGUCU
This 1306-nucleotide ribosomal RNA is filed under the name uncultured bacterium. RNAcentral's name for it is "bacterial SSU rRNA". It matches the Rfam family "Bacterial small subunit ribosomal RNA", at positions 28 to 1381 of the family's 1533-position model. The record is from RNAcentral.